UUCCGGUUGAACCUGCUUGAACCGCUGCUAUUGCGAUUCGACUAACCCCUGCGAUUUGAGAGGGUUCGGCCCUCGGCUGACGGUUCUCCACCACCGGGAUAUUCUACCCUUAGGUGGAGGAUAUUCUCGGCAAACUGAAAAUAAUACUCCAUAAAUCUAGGAGGUUGGACUGCGUCUAAAUUGAAAACUCUGUCGCCUAAGGAUGACUCGGCUUACUCCCUCGUUGUAGUCAAGGUAAUGACCUGACUACCCUACAACGGAUACGGCUUGUGAGAUCAAUAACCCGAAAAUGAAAUCUGAAACACCAUUUCACGCCCUCCGGGCCGCAGCAGGGGCGAAACCUUCAAAUUGCACGAAAGCGCGAUGAGGAAUUCCCAAGUGCUUGCCCGUACGUGUAACCUGUUUUUAUGUUUAAAAGCAUGGAAAGUAAAAGCUGGGUAAAACGGGGGCCACCCGCCGCUGUAAUACCUGCAACUCUAGUGGUGGCCACUAUUAUUGGGCCUAAAACGUCCGUACCCGGUUUAUUAAAUGCCUGGGAAAACCCUAUGGCUCAACCAUACGAAUUCCGGGUAUACUGAUAUGCUUGGGACCGGGAGAACCUAGAGGUACUCAUGGGGUAAAGGUGAAAUUCUGUAAUCCUAGGGGGACCACCAGUGGCGAAGGCGUCUAGCUAGUACGGUUUUGACGGCGAGGGACGAAGGCCUGGGAACCUAACGGGAUUAGAUAUCCCGGUAGUCCAGGGUGUAACCGCUGCUAGCUUGAUGUUAGUCGGCUCCCUACCCCGAUUAUAGUCGCAGAGAAGUUGUAAACUGUGCUGCUGGAAAUGUACCGCCGCACGACUGUAUCUAAAUGAAUUGGCGGGGGAGCUCUGCAACAGGCGGAGCGUGUGGUUUAUUUGGAUUCCACGCGGG
Molecule: ribosomal RNA, 911 nt
Filed under: uncultured archaeon
Lineage: Archaea
Description: bacterial SSU rRNA
Rfam family: Archaeal small subunit ribosomal RNA
Source: RNAcentral